GUGCUUGCUUUGACAGCACGUAUACUAAUAUUGGAAUGAUACCGGGAAGAUUAGCAUUACCCUGCACAGGGAUGAAGAGUAGGGUUUUAAAUUUUCAUAAACUUCA
This 106-nucleotide small nuclear RNA is filed under the name Cebus imitator (Panamanian white-faced capuchin). Lineage: Eukaryota; Metazoa; Chordata; Mammalia; Primates; Cebidae. The record is from RNAcentral.